CGAGUAAAAGCUCCUCCCAGGUACCCCAUGUUUGUUUCUCGGGAAAGCUGUGGUGUUUAGCCAUGAAAUAAAUGAAAAGAAGAGAAGGAAAAGAUAUUAAUAGUACCGGUCACGGUUCAAUAAUAAGUCUCUUUUUGCGAAUAAGUAAGUACCUUUUUAUUCAAAUAAAAUUUUCUAUUUAUGAUUCGUUUGUACUCUAGAAUUUUUAAGGGAAUAGCUAGGCUGCUUCAAUUUCAUUUCCAUUGUAGGUUAAAAUCAUCUUCAAAUAUCUUCCUCGUAUAUUAUUUUCGGAUUUUAUUUUUUAAAAUUUUAUAAUUUAAAUCUUAUUAUUAACCUCAUCAAAAAAAAACCUAUUGGAAUAAUGUUAAUUAGAAAUAAAUCUAAAUGAAUGGAGUUGGAGCAUAUUUGUUAUUAUUUAUUAUUUUGAAGUAGGAGGGGUGUCAUGAAUUUAGAAUGGGAAAGGGAGCCCUAGGAUGCCGAACCAGAAGGAACAGGCCUAAGGUUAUUGGGCUGAUUGAUUGAUGGAGGGUGAGGCGGACCAAGUUAGCAACAUUUAGUAGCGGGCUGAUUCCUACAGCAAGCCCAAGGGACUGAUUUAAUGACUGGAUUGCUGAUGACUCAUUUUCCUCUCAUGCUAGCUGUUAAAAAAGUGAAGUUUGUUACAACAGAAUUUCUAUUAUAUUCUCAAGGCAUGGAAUGAAAUCAGUAGUUUCCCUUUCUCUC
Molecule: long non-coding RNA, 723 nt
Filed under: Gossypium barbadense (sea-island cotton)
Lineage: Eukaryota; Viridiplantae; Streptophyta; Magnoliopsida; Malvales; Malvaceae
Description: long non-coding RNA (GBAR_LNC019415)
Source: RNAcentral